RNAcentral lists this ribosomal RNA (331 nucleotides) under uncultured eukaryote. RNAcentral describes it as "partial 18S ribosomal RNA". It matches the Rfam family "Eukaryotic small subunit ribosomal RNA", at positions 1470 to 1796 of the family's 1831-position model. The record is from RNAcentral.
CCCUUAGAUGUUCUGGGCCGCACGCGCGCUACACUGACGAAGUCAGCGAGCAUGUCCUACGCCGACAGGUGCGGGGAAUCUUGUCAAACUUCGUCGUGAUGGGGAUUGAUUAUUGAAAUUCUUGAUCAUCAACAAGGAAUUCCUAGUAAGCGCAAGUCAGCAGCUUGCGUUGAUUACGUCCCUGCCCUUUGUACACACCGCCCGUCGCUACUACCGAUUGAAUGGUUUAGUGAGAUCUUCGGAUUGGCGCCACUGCGGCUCAGCAAUGGGCUCGGUGGAUGCCGAAAAGUUGAUCAAACUUGAUCAUUUAGAGGAAGUAAAAGUCGUAACA